GACGAACGCUGGCGGCGUGCUUAACACAUGCAAGUCGAACGGAAAGGCCCUGCUUUUGUGGGGUGCUCGAGUGGCGAACGGGUGAGUAACACGUGAGUAACCUGCCCUUGACUUUGGGAUAACUUCAGGAAACUGGGGCUAAUACCGGAUAGGAGCUCCUGCUGCAUGGUGGGGGUUGGAAAGUUUCGGCGGUUGGGGAUGGACUCGCGGCUUAUCAGCUUGUUGGUGGGGUAGUGGCUUACCAAGGCUUUGACGGGUAGCCGGCCUGAGAGGGUGACCGGCCACAUCGGGACUGAGAUACGGCCCAGACUCCUACGGGAGGCAGCAGUGGGGAAUAUUGCACAAUGGGCGGAAGCCUGAUGCAGCAACGCCGCGUGCGGGAUGACGGCCUUCGGGUUGUAAACCGCUUUCGCCUGUGACGAAGCGUGAGUGACGGUAAUGGGUAAAGAAGCACCGGCUAACUAUGUG
This 468-nucleotide ribosomal RNA is filed under the name uncultured bacterium. RNAcentral describes it as "partial 16S ribosomal RNA". It matches the Rfam family "Bacterial small subunit ribosomal RNA", at positions 28 to 507 of the family's 1533-position model. The record is from RNAcentral.